AAAGCAAUAUUUGGUCCAGCCUGCUCCUUGCAUGUGACCAGAAUUUGGUCUCAUUGAUUCCCUCCUGUGAAGCCUCUCUGCUGUAACAUUAAUAAUAAGAAAGUAAUAU
Molecule: long non-coding RNA, 109 nt
Organism: Etheostoma spectabile (orangethroat darter)
Lineage: Eukaryota; Metazoa; Chordata; Actinopteri; Perciformes; Percidae
Exons: 3
Source: RefSeq, a predicted model, not a curated record